GUUCGGUUGUAGGUCGUCAUGCCGUGGACUGGGAAUGGAAGUGUUUGUUGGGAAGCCCAGCAGAACAGGACAACAGGAAAUACAAGAACAACAUUUAACAUUGGGUGGCUUUUUGGUGCUUCAGCUGUUACUUCAAAAAGGUGAAGCCAGGAGGAUGUGAAACAAUGUGGUUAGUGGAAUCACCUGCACUGAAGAACUCAGAGACUUGAAUAGGGUAUAAAGAUGACAAAUCACUCAAGUCUCAAUGCUGGUAUUUUAUCAAAAGCUUGAAUGAAUAUCAAGGCUGAGGACAACGGAGAAAGAUGAGGCUCAGAAGAGCAGUCGUUGUGUGACAACACAAGCUGGACAGAUUCUUCCAUGUUUACUCCACUGCUUAACACUUUACUGCAUUUAACAGUCUCAUACAAAUCAGGUAUUCACAGGCAAAGUACAACAUUAUUUGUUCUGAGUAAAGGGAGGAGAAUCUACGAGGAGGAUGCAUGGUGGUAUACUCUUUAUGGAACUGUGAGAUUUUGCUUUAAUCCUAGCCUUGCUCCCAGCUAUGAGCGUCAUUUUUUGAUGCA
This is a long non-coding RNA of Dromaius novaehollandiae (emu), 563 nucleotides long. RefSeq lists it as uncharacterized. The transcript has 4 exons. Lineage: Eukaryota; Metazoa; Chordata; Aves; Casuariiformes; Dromaiidae. The record is from RefSeq and is a predicted model, not a curated record.